This 253-nucleotide ribosomal RNA is filed under the name uncultured bacterium. Its description in RNAcentral is "partial 16S ribosomal RNA". It matches the Rfam family "Bacterial small subunit ribosomal RNA", at positions 524 to 776 of the family's 1533-position model. The record is from RNAcentral.
GACGGAGGGGGCUAGCGUUGUUCGGAAUGACUGGGCGUAAAGGGCGUGUAGGCUGUUGGUCAAGUCAAGCGUGAAAGCCUCGGGCUUAACCCGAGAACUGCGUUUGAUACUGGUUGACUUGAGGACGAGAGAGGAAAGUGGAAUUCCGAGUGUAGAGGUGAAAUUCGUAGAUAUUCGGAGGAACAUCAGAGGCGAAGGCGGCUUUCUGGCUCGUAUCUGACGCUGAGGCGCGAAAGCGUGGGGAGCAAACAGG